AUGACACCUGCACCUGCUCUCUGGCCGGGCUCUGGCACAGGAAGCCCUCAACAAACGCCCCUGGCAAGGGCUGUGCACAGCCACAGUGACCAGACAACAGCUCGCCGCACCACACCGUCACGGGAGACAGCGGUUAUUCUGAGCACCUCACCGCUGAAGAAACCAAGGCUCAGAGAAGAACCCUGCAUGCACAAGGUCCCACGGGUACCCAAGAAUCCGAGUGUCAGACAGCUUGCCCAUGCUCUUUGUGGAGCACCUUGGAGCCCUCCCCCACAGGCACCGCUGGCUCUCCUGACAUGGCCCACAAGUGCACGGAGGCUGUGCCUCCUCGGCCAUUGCCAGUUUAGAUUCCCAGGGGAAGCAUCAGAUGGCCCCGCUCUCCUGCUGGCAGCAGAGCACAUGGGACCAGCCGGAGCCCAGGGCAGUGGUCACCCGCGGGCCAGUCCACUGCGGCCAGCACCGCCCCCUAGAGGAAGCCGCGGGCAUGGGGGCCGGCAGUCCUGGGUCUCCCAGCUCAGGUGGUGCCAACACCGCCCCCUAGAGGAUGCUGCGGGCAUGGGGGCCGGCAGUCCUGGGUCUCCCAGCUCAGGUGGUGCCAACACCCGCCCCUAGAGGAUGCUGCGGGCAUGGGGGCCGGCAGUCCUGGGUCUCCCAGCUCAGGUGGUGCCAACACCCGCCCCUAGAGGAUGCUGCGGGCAUGGGGGCCGGCAGUCUUGGGUCUCCCGGCUCAGGUGGUGCCAGGAAGCUGCGGGCAUGGCAGACAGUGGCCCUCGGUCUUGCGGCUCCAUCCUGGCUUUCAAAUCUGCUCCAGAGGUUAUCUGGGAAGGGGCUGCUGCCUCACAGAGGGAGCCUCUAAGCCCACCAGGCGGGCGCUUUCAGCCCAAAGCCUCCGGGCCACCUCCUCAUCCUCAGCCUCAGGGGCCGGGGCCUUCUGUUUGAGUCCAUCGAAGUACUUUCCGGAAACAUCCGCCAGUUCCUCUGCCACGGCCAGGUAUGUGCUGGGCUGGGCGGCCAGCUCGGGGCUCUUGACCAGCAGCCAGAUGAUGGGCCCUGCAAUCAGCCCACAGGGCGUUCAGUCCACACACGCUCAGAGAAGCGAGGAAGCCACAGGGCGCUCAGUCCACACAUGCUCAGAGUAGCGAGGAAGCCCCACUCCCCCGUCAGGGAGCUCCGGGCCCCUGGAGUCCCACAGAGCCCUCCUCCAGCCCCUUCCCCUUGGCUCCCUCCAUCUGCAGUUCCCUUCCCUGGCACUGCCCAGGCUAAUCCCUCCAGACCAGGGAUCAGACCAGAAACUGCCUCCCCCAAGGAGCCCUCCUGGCUUUGUCCAGGAAAAUGGAAGCUCUCCUCCUCUUAGCCCCAGUCCUCACCCUAUCCCAUUUCUCCUUAAAUAACUUCUUAUUAAAUGCACCUAGCACCAGCCUCAGGUUAAGAAUUUUUUUUUUUUUGGCCAGGCGAGGUGGCUCAGGCCUGUAAUCACAGCACAUUGGGAGGCCGAGACAGGCGGAUCGCCUGGGGUCAGGACUUCCAGACCACCCUCGCCAACAUGAUGAUACCCCAUUUCUACUAAAAAUACAAAACUUAGCCAGGCAUGGUGGUGGGUGCCUGUAAUCCCAGCUGCUUGGGAGGCUAAGGUUGCAGUGAGCCAAGGUCGCACCAUUGCACUCCAGCCUGGGUGACAAGAGCAAAACUCCAUCUCAAAAAAAAUAAUUUAUAUAUAAUUUAUUUUUGGAGACCUGGUGUCUCACUGCCACCCAGGCUGGAGUAGAGUGGCGCGAUCUUAGUUCACGGUAACCUCUGCCUCCCAGGUUCAAGCAAUUCUCCUGCAUCAGCCUCCCGAGUAACUGGGACUUCAGGCACCCGCCACCACGCCUGGCUAAUUUUUUUUUUGAGACAGAGUUUUGCUCUUGUUACCCAGGCUGGAGUGCAAUGGCACGAUCUCGGCUCACCACAACCUCCACCUCUCGGGUUCAAGCAAUUCUCCCGCCUCAGCCUCCCGAGUAGCUGGGAUUACAGGCAUGCACCACCACACCCAGCUAAUUUUGUAUUUUUAGUAGAGACGGGGUUUCUCCAUGUUGGUCAGGCUGGUCUCAAACUCCUGACCUCAGGUGAUCUGCCUGCCUCGGCCUCCCAAAGUGCUGAGAUUACAGAUGUGAGCCAUCACGCCCAGCCUUAAUUUUUGUAUUUUUAAUAGAGAUGGGGUUUCACCAUGGUGGCCAGGCUGGUCUCGAACUCCUGACCUGAGGUAAUCUGCCUGCCACAGCCUCCCACAGUGCUGGGAUUACAGGCAUGGCUAUUAGCCUGGCCAAGUUAAGAUUCUUGAUGCCAACCACUCACCCACUCCAUGUUUUUCAGGAUUAUAAACACUAGUUAUAAAGCUUCAACUGGCUGGGGGUGGUGGCUCACGCCUGUAAUCUCAGCACUUUGGGAGGCUGAGGCAGGUGGACCACCUGAGGUCAGGAGUUCAAGACCAGCGUGACCAAUAUGGUGAAACCCCACCUCUACUAAAAAUACCAAAAUUAGCUGGGUGUGGUGGUGUGCACCUGUAACCCCAGCUACUUGGAGACAGGAGAAUCGCUUGAACCUAGGAGGUGGAAGUUGCAGUGAGUCAAGAUCGUGCCAUUGUAGUCAAGCCUGGGUGACAGAGCAAGACUUCAUCUCAAAAAUAUAUAAAUAAAUAAAGCUCCAACUGUUUAUUCCGCCUGUUCUCUGGGCAGGGCACUGUGCUGGCCUUUUUUUUUUUUUUUUUUUGAGACGGGGUCUCACUCUGUCACCCAGGCUGGAGUGCAGUGGCCGGAUCUCAGCUCACUGCAAGCUCCGCCUCCCGGGUUCACGCCAUUCUCCUACCUCAGCCUCCCAAGUAGCUGGGACUACAGGUGCCUGCCACCUCGCCCAGCUAGUUUUUUGUAUUUUUUAGUAGAGACGGGGUUUCACCGGGUUAGCCAGGAUGGUCUCGAUCUCCUGACCUUGUGAUCCACCCAUCUCGGCCUCCCAAAGUGCUGGGAUUACAGGCUUCAGCCACCGCGCCCGGCCGUGUGCUGGCCCUUUUAAGGAAGGUCUUGUCUAACCCUCCCAGUGUCUGUGAGGUGAGUCCUGUUAUGGCCUCCACUCUGCAGAUGAAGAAACAGGCUCAGAGGGGUAACAGCACUUCCCCAGGAGGCGCGGCUGGUUUGGGGUGAAGCUGGAGUUACCCUGAGCACAGUCUGACUCCAGGAGUCAGUUCCACGGCCUCUCCUCUGAGACACGCUUUUCUCAUCGGCCAGUGGGGCUCUGCCUGCUUCCUGAGGCUGUUAGAGGUUGGCAGGCCAGGUCGACAGAGGAAAGGGACCCGUCCUGUGCCUCAGAAGACACAGGUGAGGAGCAGGCAUGCGGCCCCAGGGACCGUCUCUGAGGGAGGGUCCUGGGCCCCGGGCUGAGAAAGCAAGGGUGGAGGGUUCAGCGUGCAGACCCCAGGCUGGGAGGGACUCACCGAGCGUGGUGCUGGAGAAGGUGGAGCCAUGGAUGCCCGUGUGUCUGCCCAGCUCUGUCCUGGCCACGCCGGGGUGCAGGGCGUUGACAGUCACACCAGAGCCUGGGGAAGAAAUAGAAGACUGAGGGAGAGGUCCAGCCUCACCUGGAAGGUUGUGGCAGCCCACACCCAGCUGUGGGGCUUCCGGGCGCCAGGCUGCUUCCUACACUCAAACCCCAUCGUCCCUCUUGCUCUGAAAUCUUAGUGAAGUGGUCUUAUCUUGCAGGGCGGCUCUGCCACAUGGCUGCUGGGAGCCGAGCUGUCCUGGAGGGCUUGAUAAACCCAGAAUGCUGAGCUCACCCCAGGAAUUCAAAUCAGUGGGUGAGGGUGGGAUCUGAGAUACUGUAACUCUGACCAGCUCCCACUGGGGCUGGCACCGCUGGUCCACAGACCGUCUUUCAGAAGCAAAGGCCCAGCACAGAUUCCUCAACCUCAGCACUAUGGACGCUGUGGAUCGGGAGGAGUGAGGGGCCGUCCUGUGUGCUGUAGGACCUUGAGCAGCAUCCGGGCCUUUACACUCCAGAUGCCCAGAGCAAUCUCUCCCCCACCCAGAUGUGAUCACUGUGUUUCCAGGCAUUGACAACUGUGGGCCAGAACUGCCCCUGGUUGAGACUCACUGGCUGGAGCCAAAAGGCUGAGCUGCCUGCCCAGCAGCAGCAGGGAAGGACACCUGAUCCAGGCAGACUAGACCACCUGGGAUGAACAGACAAUCAGCAGAAGAACAAUCGAUUAGUGAUGUCUGCUUCAGGCACCAGAAGGGGGCAGGGUGGUCUGUGUGCUCUACUUUUGCAGAUUCUGUUGUGGAGCCACAGCUUGGCCUCCCAUCAGCCUAGGAUCAUGGAAGGGCUGCUCUAGGCUCAGAGUAAAGCAAGAGGAGGCCAG
This 4387-nucleotide long non-coding RNA is filed under the name Macaca fascicularis (crab-eating macaque). RNAcentral's name for it is "lncRNA (ENSMFAG00000052694.1)". Lineage: Eukaryota; Metazoa; Chordata; Mammalia; Primates; Cercopithecidae. The record is from RNAcentral.